Molecule: long non-coding RNA, 175 nt
Filed under: Polistes fuscatus (common paper wasp)
Lineage: Eukaryota; Metazoa; Arthropoda; Insecta; Hymenoptera; Vespidae
Description: uncharacterized LOC122516360
Source: RNAcentral
CCGAGCUUCACCGUUCGAGGAAAGGAAUGCGACCGCCUUGUUUCACGUUGGAAGCGUGCAGAGCUGCUAGCCAGCACUUGGUCGAGGUAACCAAUGCAAGUGAUGGCCAGUUACCAUACGUGAAUAAUUAACCGAUAUUUGUUUGCUUUGUAAUUUGAAAUACACGAUAAAAUGG